AACAUAUUAAGAGAAGAGAUGUUUUUAAAGCCCAAUUCAGCAAGUUGAUAUUGCACUUUGCUGAAGAGAAGGUAAGGGUGGUCAUCUCUUCAAGAAAAUUUCUUCACUUGUUGGCACCUGGCAGUGGCCGGAGAUGUCCCAGAAUGUCCUUUUUGAACACCUCCUCUUGUUACUCUAAACAAGGCAUUUGAGAGAUGCACCAUACCGCAAACCUGGCUGCCGCUAGCAUCCCACUCUAAGAAGCCGCUAUUUAAAGCACAAAUCACAG
Trachemys scripta elegans is the source of this 268-nucleotide long non-coding RNA. RefSeq lists it as uncharacterized. The transcript has 3 exons. The record is from RefSeq and is a predicted model, not a curated record. Lineage: Eukaryota; Metazoa; Chordata; Testudines; Emydidae.